Molecule: small RNA, 46 nt
Filed under: Thalassiothrix antarctica
Lineage: Eukaryota; Bacillariophyta; Fragilariophyceae; Thalassionematales; Thalassionemataceae
Description: partial Mitochondrion-encoded tmRNA
Source: RNAcentral
AGGCUGCAUUGGUUAUAUCCAUAUUAUAUUUUGGCAAUAAUAUUAU